RNAcentral lists this ribosomal RNA (254 nucleotides) under uncultured bacterium. Its description in RNAcentral is "partial 16S ribosomal RNA". It matches the Rfam family "Bacterial small subunit ribosomal RNA", at positions 524 to 776 of the family's 1533-position model. The record is from RNAcentral.
UACAGAGGUCUCAAGCGUUGUUCGGAUUCAUUGGGCGUAAAGGGCGCGUAGGCGGCCUGCUAAGUCGAACGUGAAAUCCCUGGGCUCAACCCAGGAACUGCGUCCGAUACUGGUUGGCUUGAGGUUGGGAGAGGGAUGCGGAAUUCCAGGUGUAGCGGUGAAAUGCGUAGAUAUCUGGAGGAACACCGGUGGCGAAGGCGGCAUCCUGGACCAAUUCUGACGCUGAGUGAGCGAAAGCCAGGGGAGCAAACGGG